Molecule: microRNA precursor, 103 nt
Filed under: Poecilia formosa (Amazon molly)
Lineage: Eukaryota; Metazoa; Chordata; Actinopteri; Cyprinodontiformes; Poeciliidae
Description: miRNA (ENSPFOG00000021029.1)
Source: RNAcentral
CACGGACUGCAGCAGUACUACUGUAAACUGAAGGACAGCGAGAAAAACCGCAAGCUCUUUGACCUGCUGGACGUCUUGGAGUUCAACCAGGUAAAUCUACGGG